UGUUCCUUAAACAGCCAUUGCACCUAGCCAUCAAAAACUGCGCCUCUCAGACUGGUAAACAUGGGCAUAUUAAUGAACGCGCUUCGGCUUUUUUCCCAAAUGUUAAGCCUCCCAUUGCAGUUACUGGAACUGGUAGGGAUAUACGGCGCAUAUAAGCGCAUCUUCCCGUUCUUCGUGUAUAAAAUGUCGGUUUCGUACAACAAGAAAAUGCAUGAGCAGAAAAAGGAACUGUUCCGAGACUUAGCGGAGUUCGCCAGGGAUGGCAGGGCGCUGCGGCUGCUGGAGAUCGGCUGUGGAAGUGGGAGCAACUUUCAGUACUACCCCCGCGGCUGCACGGUAGUGUGCACAGACCCGAACCCCCAUUUCAAGAAGUAUUUGCAGAAGAGUGUCGCCAGUAGCGAUCACCUGAAGUUUGAGAAGUUCGUGGUGGCCUCGGGCGAGGAUCUGGGGGAGGUAGAGGACGGCUCGGUGGACGUAGCGGUGUGCACACUGGUACUGUGCACGGUCAAGGACACGACACGAGUCUUGGUCGAAGUGCAUCGCGUAUUACGGCCUGGUGGUGCCCUGUUUUUCCUGGAGCACGUUGUGUCUGAUCCAUCCACCUGGACCUUCUUCAUGCAGCAUGUUCUCCAGCCUCUUUGGUAUUACUUUGAAGAUGGCUGUGAAGUUACAAGAGCCACAUGGAAGGACCUGGAAGCCUCCAGGUCACUUCUGGAGCUGAAUUCAAUGGUAACAUUUUUCCCACUUGCUUUAGGCAUAAAGAAGAAUUACAUGGCUCAAACUGGGGAAGUGCUAUAAGAAGCGCGCAUAACCAACGCAUUGAGACACUGUGGAGUGAUGUCUGGAAAGGAGUUACAAAUGUCUACCAUUCAUUGUUCGCAUAUCUGGAGAAUGAAGUCAUGUAUAAGUGUGGAGGAACAGACCAGAGGAACUUCGGCAGCCCUACUUUCUUGCAUCUGGAAAAUGUAAGCAGACCAUCAGUACUUACUACAUUGUGAUGGACAAGAAGCUCCUCCCCUGCCAAGGAACCACAUCAUUGGCAGCCUUUGAUGAACUUUUUAAGGUGCACUUUGUUUUCAAUUUAAGUUACGAUGAUGCUUUUUGCAACAUGAUCACAUUCCUCCAGACGACAGUCUAUGGCAUUGAUGUUGACACCACUAAAGAAAGUCCAAAGGUGAAAGAAUUGAGGGCCAAGUUCAUGAACACAAGCUGAGAGAAAGGCUGAGAGAAACAUGUGUGUCUGUCAUUUUUAGUGCAGUGCAUCCCAGCACUUGUGUAGCUAGGCAGCACUUUUUUUGCACAGGCUAUGUUUUGGCAAAAAUGAUUUUGGUUUUAGUCAUUAAAUUAAAUGUGUUGGCAAAUAGAAGAAAACCCAAUUACAUAGAAGCAGAGGCAAGGAGCCAAGUUCUUGAGUUAUGUACAGGUGUCAUAUUUUUAGACCUUUGUUUAAUGAACCAAGUGUUUUAAUUCAGCACCUUACAUUUUUUCAUGGGUUAUAUCCAGGCAAAAAAAAAUGUUCUUUGUGCUCAAGAAGAAUGUUCAUUGCAGUUUAAAAGUUUUGCUGGUUUUAGAAAGCAUUUAAAUAUUUUUUAUCAAACUCUUAACAUGGGCACAAGUUAUGAAGUUAAUAUUUUAAUGCCACAUCAGUCAGACUUCAGUGAACAGAGCUCACAAUAAGAAGCCUGCAACAUUGAGCCAGAUGAAGAAAGUCAACCUACAACAUCUGGCACUCAAAGUGGACAAAGUAUUUUAGUGAGAAAUGGGGUGUGGUUGAACCACUUGAAAUUGUCUUAGGUGUGAGAUAUGAUUCAAAGAGAAGCAAAAUAUCUGGAGUAUAUGAGCAGGUACCAGUGAAUGACACUUUCAUUUAUGUACCCCUUUUAAAAACAUUAGAGUUCAUUUUCAGGAAUAAAGAUUUGUGUUGUUACAUCAGUAAAACUGCUGCUUUUGGUGGCUUAUACAAGGAUUUCUGUGAUGGAAAGUACUAUAGUCUCCACCAGGGUUCCAUGCCUGUGGAGUUUGCAUGUUCUCCCUGUGCCGCUGUGGGGGUUUCCUCCACAGUCCAAAGACACGUCGAGCCUAAUUGGAGUUACCAAAUCACCCAUAUGUGUGCAUGUCCCCUGCAAUUGAUUGGUGUUCCAUCCUGAGGUUCCA
Molecule: RNA transcript, 2154 nt
Organism: Paramormyrops kingsleyae
Lineage: Eukaryota; Metazoa; Chordata; Actinopteri; Osteoglossiformes; Mormyridae
Gene name: thiol S-methyltransferase TMT1A-like
Source: RefSeq, a predicted model, not a curated record